UUUUUUUUUUUUGCGGUGAUGAAUUUAGUUAAAUUAAUUUUUUGUAAAUGAAUUUUUAGAAUUUUAAUGUAUUAUCACUGUUCUAGGGUUCAUAAUGUACCUAGGAAUCAAAUUUGGAGUGUAUGAACCCUAGGAUCAAAUUCAAAAAAAGUCGUAGAAUGCUCUAGGGUAUAUGAACCCUAUAUGAAAUUUGACAAGUGCUAAAUUUACUAUCAAAUUUGACAAGUGCUGAAUUUAGUUUCAAAUAUUAUGAAGAAAAAUGACUUCUUGCAAUCCACUAGCUAGCUUGCAUUUUUCUUCAAGUUCUAUAUUUUUCUUCCUGGUAUAUGCAAAUUUGAAAUUGACAUGUGAUAUGUGGACAUGUGAUUUGGACAUGUGAUAUUUGGAAAAUGAUGGUUAUGUGCGGGGUAAAUGAUCCAAGUGGCCUAUGUUUCCGCGGAAUGUUGAUUCAUUUCCGUUCCGGUGAAUUUUAGGCACUUUAUAUGUCCAUGUUUUAGCAAAGGCCAUGCCAAAAUUUCUCGUGAAAUUCUGCAUGACUUGUGCUAGAAAGUAGGCAUAUCAAGUGCCGGGAUUCACUGUAACCGGAAUGAAACGACAUUCCGGUAAACCAUAGACCUCUUUUUAUGUCAUUACUCAUUUUAUUAUAGUUUAAGAAUUAAACUAUGAGACUUAAUCAUAGGAAAUAUGUCGAACAACGAAGAAACCGGGCCUUCUGACCAUGGUGCAGACGAGAUGGAUUAUGACCAUCAACAUAAGUGGCUCAACUUUUUGUCUCGUAAGCACAAUCAAGGUUUGCAGGGCGGCCACGAUGAUGGUACUAACGCCGACAUCGACACCGAUGGCACCGACACCGAUGACGGUGGUGUGAUUGGCGGGAAAGGCACCGGUGCCGAAGCCGCUAACGAAAAGAAGAAGCAGAGGACACGAAAACCUAACAAACUCGGCAUCGGAAGACUGCUGGUCACAAAGAUGCACCCCGACAAAUUUGAGCCGAUAGAGUCGGAUGAACCUCGCAAGUGCUACAAGAACCAAGUCGGAUGCAUCCUACGGGAAACCGCGAGCAUCAACGACAAUGACUUAAGGAGUAAACAAAUUGGGAGCACUUGCUCCCAAACGAAGCUGCACAAGAGUUUCCAGUUCCCCGAACGGAAUGACCGCAUUGAAGAGCCGUGGGAUGAUCCUGCCAUGAAAAAGAUUAACAACCACACCAUGGGCAUGUUCAACAAUGAUUUGGCCUCUUAGAAAGGGAGGGUGAAAUGAGCUAUCGAGGCUAAUGAACCCCUGUCCAAGAUUCUGGAGGAAAAUCCGACACUUACGGAAGAGGAGUUCCAAAAGUUCAAGGACACUUGCGCUACCGACGCAACCAAGGCUAAGUCGGAGAAAUUCAAGGGGCUUCAGCAAAGGAACAUGGGGAACCAACGCCUCGGAAGCUGUGUCUACCUUGGCAAAAGACCCAUAUGGGAUAAGGAGGACGCGGAACGUGAAGCCGCGGGGAUCCCAGACCCCUUUGUGCAAUUCACCGACCCCUUGGAGCGUGACUUCAUUAGGGCCCAGUACAAGUGGGACAAGGAAAAGAAGGUUUUUUACAUGGACCCGAUCACGACAAAAUUGAUUCGAAUACUGGUAAUUAUUCUUUUACCACCUUACAUUUAGCUUUUGAUCAAGUCGACUACACAUUCGUAAAUGGUUCACGUUCCUUUUGUGGGAGAAGCAACACAUGCUUGCAGCCGAAAGCGAGUCUUCAUUGAUGAGGUCCAAGUGGGACACCCCUCUCAACCGGACCUUGAACGACCUGAAGGGACUCCCUUUGGACCAGCCGCCGCAAUAUGGACGUGUGCACGGCAUCGGAUAUGGCGCCACGUGGAAGGUCUAUUACAACGAGGGCCCGGAGGCCAAGAAGUAGAAACAAAAGUUCAGUCAGGCGGACAUCGGCGCGAAGGUGAAGCUUGCGUUCGACAAAAAAGCUGUUGAGGAUGAGAAAAAAGCAGCUCAGGAGAAAAAUGAGUUGGUCCAACAGGCAGUCGCUGCAGCUUUAGCUGCCUGCAGAAAUGAUUUGGCUACUAACUUGAUCCUAACUGUCAUCAAUUGGAUGAAGGAAAAUCCAGAAAAGAUGGCACAUGAUUUUCCCAUGCCCAGCUUCGUCGGGAGCAACUCGGUGAACAUCACAAUGACACCAUCACCUGCUCUCGCAACCGUGCCAGCUCCCGCACCUGCACCCACACCAGCUCAUAGCAGCGUGUCCUCUGUCUCUAGCGUGCUAGGAGGGCCUUCAUCUUUGGCUAUGCUUGACGCCCUCACGAUAACUACACGUUGCACCAACAUAUAUCUAGAAUAUUCCGUUUUCGUUGCCUUUCGGAUGUUUUACGCCGCAGACAUGUCUUUGUAGGCCGACGAAACCCCAUGCACCGUACUCUACGUGAUCAAAGGCCAGAAGGUGGACGUGGGAAAGGCAGUGAUAAUGAAGCCCUUGGAACUCAUGUUCCAGGGCAAGCCGAUCCCCGUUGGCACCUUCAGGGUUAACUUGUCGAGUGUGAAAUCGGGGCACGAGGAUUUGCCUCCUCUAGUACGGCUCGGGGGAGAGGAGGACGAGACCCCGAUGCGGCUUGGAAACUACAAGGGUUGGAUGUUGCUAUGGCCGAAGAAUCUUCUUCGUCUGGAGACAGCCGAGAGCACACCAAUAACCACACAUCAGCAAGCAGGUAUGAACACCACCACCCCGCCUACGCAAUUACCAGCGCCUGUAGUGCCGGGUGAGAACGAUAGACAACGCGAGGAAGGGGGUCCAGUAGUGGAUGAUGUAGUCGCCCCCGUAUAAUAAAGAAUGGAUGAUGAGAUGGACGAGGAUGACCCUCUUCGGUUCCUCAAUAUAGGUGCCUAUGACAACGACGUAGAAAUGAUGAGUCAGCCAUAUGACUCGGGCUAUCAGCAUGCUGAUGAGGAGAUGGAUGAUGUGCCCGGGAAGGAACAUCCUAGGGUUGAUUGCAAGAAGUCUCUUCAAGCAAUCCUCACAGGACACGCUUGAAGAUGCCGCCUUAACGCAAUGUCAACUAGCCAAGGGUCAUACAAUGCUUAGCCCGACAACACUGGUGGCGGGGUUAAGGAAGGGUCUGGAAGGUCAUCCCAAUAAAAAGGAGAGGAAGAUACCAUCGAAGAAAAGCUCUGGUGCCGCCAAAGCUGCCAAAGCUUCUAGCAGCCAGGCGACCAAUUUUGCAGACUGUGUAUCGGUCAAAGUUGUGGCGGUCUUCCAUGUCAUGGGCAAGCCAAUCCUACCGCUGAAACCACUGGAGGGCAUAUCAGGGGAUCUCAGGAGACUGCACGACCAUGUGCUGUCGACUGAGAAAAGCCUUCUAGCCUUGAAGGAUCUAGGAUAUCUGCUAUACACAGUUUGUGUGCCUGAGGGGAAGUGCUACGUUGACACACUGCCCACAGAGGUGUUCUUCCUGUGCUUUGAUUAUAUCUUUGAUAUGUUUCUCACAAGGCGGCUCGAUUUUACAAUCGCCCACCUUUUUGCGCUACAUAUGAACUUUGUCAUCACGGGAGAACAAAUCUCGCAAAUCUGUGUGGCGGAUCCAUACUACAUGCAUGAGUGCUUCUUGAGUCUCGGCGACUUUGAGCGUAAAACUGCUAGGGAGUACAUCGAAAACUUCAUGAUAAGGAAUAAGGACAAGGAAACGGUCCUCCUGCCUUAUCAUCCAAUGUAAGUCAGUGUUGGACAACCCUUUUGUACAUUUCAAUCAUUCCUUCUUGCUCAUAUGGAGAAUCAUUUGAGGUGUUUUUUCCUGCAGCAAUGCGCGCACCGUCCUUAUAGUUCUUUUCUCACGAGUCUCCCAUGCCGUGUAUUUCGACCCUUCCAAAAACUACGAGAAGAAGGACUACACCCACAUAAUGGAUAUUCUAGAUGAUGCUCUACACGGCUUCAGCAUGAGGGGUGGCCACCUCGAGAUCGGGAAACAAAGGAACCGCAAGCCAGGUUUCUUGCAUAAAACUAACUUUUGCGGGAUCCAUCAACCAACAUCAAGCAGAAAUGAUGGAUUCUACCUCCUCCAUCUCAUGAUAGAGUUUGAAAGGGAUCACCAAUAGCUUCGCAUGAGAACCAAAAACGAUGAACAUAUCCGCAAAUGGGCAAAAUCCCUAGGAGAAGAAUCAGAAUCAGAUUAUAAACUUAGAAAUGACUUCUUUCGCAUCCAAAGGGACAUUGCAACGAUCGUCAUGAAAGAAGUCGUCGAGAAGAAUUGGAUGUUCUACCAUGGCCCUAUAUCGCGAGCUAACAUCCUAACUUGCAUAGGCCUACAACGUCAGGACCUAACGCCAUUAAAGAAGCUAGGGUGCAUCCUCGAUGAUCUAGAUGGAUGGAACUUCUAGUAAUGAUUGACGAUGCUGAUGAUGAUGUGUCGGUUGAACUGGUACUUGAUGUAGCGAUCAAACUUUGUGAUGUAAGUGGUGCAUGUCGAACUUGCGUAAUGCUAGUUUGUUAGUUUGAGUACGAUGACCUGCAUAACUCUAGUUAAUUAGUUUGUGUAUGAUGGACCUGCGUUGAUUAAUUAUGUUUACUAUAUGUUGCAUCUAUUUGCUAACACCCUUUAUUUUUGUGUUGCUCAAUUAUAUUAUGUUGCAGAUUUUUGUUGAUUCUCUUCAUGAAGAUGCAUCUCUAACAGGUACAUAGAUCCUUGAUGGCAAAGAAGUGCUAUGUCGUGUACAUAGGGAAGAUUCCAGGAGUGUACGACGAGUGGCCCGAGUGUCAGGCUCAAGUGGAGCGGUUCUCAAGCGCCAGCCAUAAAGGGUUCGAUAGCAGACAAGAAGCAGAAGUUAGUUACUUGAGGUUCACGCUAGCGCGAGAGAGGAAUCAGAACCGCCGCCUCAUGUAUUGCAUAGUUCCGCUCUCACUCAUAGUGAUAGCUCUUCUCUUCUACAUGAUUGUUUAGAUGGACGACGAUGUAUAGUUGCAAGUAUUUGAGGCAUGUCAUAACUUGUAUCGUUAUUUCGAGAUGAUGACAAGAGACAUCAUUUUGUGUUUGAUGAUGAUUAUGAUGGUGACAUGAUUUGAUGAGACUAUUUGUAUGUGUAUGAUAUGAUUAGAUUUGCAUGUGUAUGAUAUGCUAGAGACUAAUGUAUAAAACCUGUACAAAUACAAAAGAAAAUAUGUAGCAGAAAAAAAUUAGAAACUAAUAACAGUAUCGCGGGGUAUGAUUUUAGCAGCAGCGAGAGAUUAGCAGUAGUGCACUUUAAAACAGGGCGCUACAGCUAUUAGCAACAACGCAUUCUUGUAACACAUGCUACUUCUACCUCUAGAUAGCAGUAGCACGGGCCAACACACGCUACUACUAAUUAAAAGUUAGCUGUAGCGUUGUAGCAGUAGUGUGGCCACCCACGCUACCGCUAGGCAUUUGACCCGCGCUACUGCUAGGCUUUUUCCUAGUAGUGUAAGUCGGUGCAAUAGGAGCCAUGUUUGUGUCUACGAAAUUCUAAUAAAACAUUAACGAGAUUGGGUAUUUGAUCUGAGUUGUCCGCUGGCCUAAAUGCACUAACCGUCAUGCGGGACAAUGUAUGAGUUGAAGAGUUACUCUCAUUAGAAGGUGGGCACGGGUAGCUAAUCCACUUUUCCUCCUUUUGUUCUUCGCCCUCCUCAUCAUCUUUUUCAUCUAAUGAGCUCACUGUAUCAUCAAUUUCUUCUUCCAUAGUUUCCUGUAAAAUAUUAGUGUCUUCUUGGACAUCGGAGACUUUCUCAAUAAAACCAUUAAUAUCGGCAUUAUAUUCAUAAUUCUCGUAGCAAUAUUUAAGUAUAGCAUAAUUUUUAGGUCUGUAAACAACAUCAUCAUCAUUUUCACACUUUGCAAACAAAGAUUCAAUUUCGUAAGCACCCUUAAAAGCAACAAAUUCUUCUAUUUGUUCCACAUCAUAGUAAUCAUACAUACCAUUAGCAUAAGAAGCCAAGGUUUCAUUACCACUAAAUUUACAUGAAAAGGGAAGGUGUGGAGCCUUCAUCCUAGAGCAAUAAGUAUAAUCAUAUCUCAAGCAUAAAUUCCAAGAAUACCAAUGCAACAUAUGAAUUUGAUCCCAUAACAGUUUCCCUUUUUGCAUCAAGCAAGAAUCCCUAAAGUAUUCACGUUGAUCCAACGUAUCUCCCAUUAUCAAGUUGAAUGGGGUUUUCUCAGGAUUAUCAUAGUGUUUAAUAUUUUUCACAUAACGAGCAUCGAGGGUUUUAGGAGGUUCCCCAUCUCCAUGAGUAGCAAAUACACCUAAUUUUUUUUGGUAUUUCAUGUUCCAAAUCCAUAACUAAAGAUAGAUAACAACUAAGAACAAGAAAUAAAAUCUACUUAGUGAUAGAGCAAACAAGCACACAUGAGAAUAUUCACCCAACGCUAUUGCUCCCCGGGAACGGCGCCAGAAAAAGGUCUUGUUAACCCACAAGUGUAGGGGAUCAAUUGUAGCCUCUUUCGAUAAGUAAGAGUGUCGAACCCAACGAGGAGCUAAAGGUAGAACAAAUAUUCCCUCAACUUCUAUCGAUCACCGAUACAACUCUACGCACGCUUAACGUCGCUUUACCUAGAACAAGUAUGAAACUAGAAGUACUUUGUAGGUGUUGUAGGAUAGGUUUGCAGGAUAGUAAAGAGCACGUAAAUAAAAACUAGGGUCUAUUUAGAUAAAUAAACAAUUAAGUUAGUAUAUUGAGUGUGAAAAAGUGGUGGUAGGAGUUGCGGAAUUGUCCCUAAGCAAUUGACUACGUUACUAGACCGAUAGCAAGUUUUAUGUGGGAGAGGCCACUGCUAGCAUGUGAUCCCUUACUUGGAAUUCUAUGCACUUAUGAUUGGAACUAUUAGCAAGCAUCCGCAACUACUAACGUUCAUUAAGGUAAAACCCAACCAUGGCAUGAAGAUAUAUUGGUCCCCCUUCAAUCCUGUAUGCAUCAAUUACUAUGCUAGGAUGAAGCUACUGUCACCCUUGCCCUCCAAUACAUAGUCCUAUCAACAUACAACUAACCCUAUGGUGUUAUCCACACGCACGCUCAUAUGAUGGGAACCAAAGAACAGCAACAUAACCACAAGAAAACUGAACCAAUCAUAGCAAUUCACCAAUUACCGAUAGGACAACAAAAAUCUACUCACACAUCAUAGGAUGGCAACACAUGAUUGGAUAAUGAUAUGAAGCAUAAAGAACCAUGUUCAAGUAUAGGGUACAGUGGGUUGCGGGAGAGUGGACUGCUAUAGAUAGAUGGGGGAAGGUGAUGGAGGUGUUGGUGAAGAUGACAGAGUUGUUGGAGUAGAUCGCCGUCACGAUGAUGGCCCCGGCGGCGUUCCGACGCCACCGAGAGAGAGGGGGAGAGAGACCCCCUCCUUCUUCUUCUUCUUCCUUGACCUCCCUCCUAGAUGGGAGGAGGGUUUCCCCUCUGGUCCUUGGCCUCCAUGGCGGCGGAGGGGAAAGAGCCCCUCUGAGAUUGGAUCUCUCUCUAUGUUUCCUUCUGUUUCUGCAUUCCCUGUUUCUGGCCUUUCACUGUUUCUUAAAUUCCCGGAGAUCCAUAACUCUGAUUGGGCUGAAAUUUUAACACAACUUUUAUUCUGAUGUUAUCUUUCUUGCGGCCGAAGAAGGGCACUAGCUGCCUUACAGGGUGACCACAAUCCUCCCAGGCACGCCCAGGGUAGGGGGCGCGCCCCUAGGGCUUGUGGGCCCCUCGGGCAUCGUCUCGUGUUGAUUCUUUUUUCCAAAAACCACAUAUAUUCCAAAAGAAUCUCUGUAAGUUUUUAUCGCGUUUGGACUCCGUUUGAUAUGGAUAUUCUGCGAAACAAAAAACAUGUAACAAACAGGAACUAGCACUGGGCACUGGAUCAAUAUGUUAGUCCCAAAAAUAACAUAAAAAGUUGCCCAAAGUAUAUGAAAGUUGUAGAAUAUUGGCAUGAAACAAUCAAAAAUUAUAGAUACGGCGAAGACGUAUCAAAGUGCCACAAACAACCCUAGAGUUCGUACUAGAAUAACACCAUAUGAUACGCAUCAAUCAAUUCUAAUAUCACCUAGAUACUCCAAUGUCACCACAAGUAUCUGUGAGUUAAUUAUUAGACAUGCAUCAAACAAUUUCAGAUUCAUAACAUUCAAUCCAACACAAAAACUUCAAAGAGUACCCCAAAGUUUCUAUCAGAGAAAGUAGGACGAAAAUGUGUAUCAACCUAUGUGCCUAGAUUACCAAAAUGUCACCACGGGAAUUCGCAAGUUGAUUACCAAAACAUAUAUCAAGUGACUCAAUAGAAUACCCCGAUUAUCACCACGGGUAUCUGAUACGUCUCCAAAGUAUCUAUAUUUUUUUAUUAUUCCAUGUUAUUGUAGUAUCAAUCUUGGAUAUUCAUUAUGCAAUUAUAUAUCAUUUUUGGGACUAACCUAUUAACCUAGUGCCUAGUGCUAGUUGUUGCUUUUUGCUUGUUUUGGCUUUUCAAGAAAUCGGUACCAAACGGAGUCCACGCUAUGAAACUUUUUGACAUUUUUUUCUAGACCAGAAGGGACCCUGGAAGCUUCGGGAGAAGACAUGCGGAGCCACGAGGGAGCGACAAGCCCACAGGGUGCGCCCACCAGGCUUGUGGGCCCCUCGUGGCAUCUCUUCACCUAAUUCCACUUCUAUAAAUUCCCAAAUAUUCCCAGUACAACAAAGAGCCACCCUUGACAAGCCACAAGUUUCUGUUCUUCGGAGAUCCCAUCUGGAGACCUUUUUCGGUACUCUGUCGGAUGGGGAAUAGAUCACGGAGGGCCUCUAGAUCAACCUUGCUGCCCUUCUGAUGAUGUGUGAGUAGUUUACCACGGACCUAUGGGUUCAUAGCUAGUUGCUAGAUGGCUUCUUCUCUCUCUUUGAUCUUCAAUACAAUGUUCUCCUCUAUGUUCUUCGAGAUCUAUUCGAUGUAAUCUUGUUUUGCGAUGUGUUUGUUGGGAUCCGAUGAAUUGUGGAUUUAUGAUCAGAUUAUUCAUGAAUGUUAUUUGAGUCUUUUCUGAAUUCUUAUAUGCAUGAUUGUUAUAUCUUUGUAUUUCCCUCUGAUCUAUCUGCUUGGUUUGGCCAACUAGAUUUAUGUAUCUUGCAAUGGGAGAGGUGCUUUGUGAUGGGUUCGAUCUCGCGGUGCUCAAUCACAGUGACAGAAAGGGGCAUGACACGUAUUUGUAUCGUUGCCAUUAAGGAUAAAAAGAAGGGAUUUAUUCAUAUUGAUUGGGUUUACUUUGUCUACAUCAUGUCCUCUUGCUUAAGGCGUUACUCCGUUCUUUAUGAACUUAAUACUCUAGAUGCAUGCUGGAUAGCGGUCGAUGUGUGGAGGAAUAGUAGUAGAUGCAGGUAGGAGUCGGUCUACUUAUCUCAGACGUGAUAUCUAUAUACAUGAUCAUUGCCUUGAAUAUUGUCAUAACUAUGUGCUUCUCUAUCAAUUGCCCAAUAGUAAUUUGUUUACCCGUCGUACGCUAUGUUCGAGAGAGAAGCCUCUAGUGAAAACUAUGGCCCCCGAGUCUAUCUUUAUCAUAUAUUAAAAUCCAAAAAUACCUUGCUGCAAUUUAUUUACCGUUAUAUUAUUUUGUGUUUUUGUUUAUCUAUCUACCAUUAUCAGACUUGAUCCUUGCAAGUAACUGUCGAGGGGAUUGACAACCCCCUUGAUCACGUUGGGUGCAAGUAUUUGUUCUUUUGUGUGUAGGUGUUGUUCACGAGGUCUUGCGUGGUUAUCCUAUUGGAUCGAUAACCUUGGUUCUUAACUAAGGGAAAUACUUAUCUCUACUUUACUGUGUCAUCCUCUCCUCUUCGAGGAAAUACCAACAUAGCUCACAACUAGCAGUAUCCACAUGCAAGACAUACAUCAAAGUGAUCUCAAAUCCAUUAUUAAAUCUGAUAAUAACGGAAUCUCAAAGGAAAAGACUCAAUUCAUCACAACAAGAUAGAGAGGGAAGAACACCAUAUGAUCCAACUAUAUUAACAAAGCUCGUGGUACAUCAAGAUCGUGCCAAAUCAAGAACAUGAGAGGGAGAGAGAGAUCAAACACAUAGCUACUGGUACAUGCCCUCAACCUCGAGGGUGAACUGCUCAUCAUGGAGAUCACCGGGAUGAUGAAGAUGGCCUCCGGUGAUGAUUCCCCCCUCCGGUAGGGUGCCAGAAAAGGCUCCAAAUGAGAUCGCCUCGGUACAGAGAAUUGCUGCACCGACGUGAAAUUUAUAGGUUUAUUCUGAAGAUUUCCCAAUUUAUAAGAAUUUUUGGCAUGGUUUCACGUUAGGGGGGUCCCGUGGGACCCAUGAUCUCAGAGUACACUCCCUACCUCUCAGGGCGCAUGGGGUGAGCUCGUGACUCCCUCGUCUAUGUUUUGAUCCUUCCUCGAAGCUUCGGGGGUCUCUUAUGUUCCAAAAAAAUGACCGUAAAUUUUUGUGGCAUUUGGACUUUGUUUGGUAUGAAUUUUCUACGAAACAGAAAAUAGCCAAAAAAAACAUAAACUAGCACUUGGCACUAGGUCAAUAGGUUAGUUCCCACUAAUCAUCCAUGGCAGCGCCGGUCACUAGCUCACUUAGAUCACGGGUUAGUGAAAUUUAUGAUAUGAGUGAGGGCUGAGAGUGAGCGGGAUGGGGGUUGUUCUAUUCGGUUAUGGUUGUCUGAGUGGAAUAAUUUCUAUAAUUUAGAGAACAUGGCAAAUUGCAUUUCAUUAGAGAUGGCUUUGCAGCAAAUUGCAUGAGCGAGUGGUUCAUAUAUUAUUUUGCCAAGUCAUACAACUUUUUGGUUAGGAUAGAAGGGUCAUCAUUCGUCGGUUGCUUCAAGAGUUAAUAACGGACGCCGUGGCAUAUCAGUUGCAUGCCAACAAGGAACAUUUUAUAUUUUGUUUCAUGGUAAUGCACGACAUUCAACUGUAUGUUACAACGUGGAAAUGGUGACGGAGACAUCGGAUUUGUCUUCUUGGCUCGGGGGGUGUCAUGGGCGGCACAUGCCUCAUCUCCUUUUAUGGCGGUGACGGAUCGUUACGAACAUGGGGGUAGGGGAUCAGGGCGGAGAACGGGACGGUUGGUGGGGGACUCCUUGGCAGUCUGUGGGGAGGUACGGUGUAAAAGAGAGAGGGCACCAUGAUGAAGGUGAGGUGGGCAUCAUCCAACUUUAAAGGAGAGGGCUCCAGCGAUAAAUGUCUCGCUCCGAUAGAAAACCAAGUGGGAAGGGGAGGGUCCGGCAGGAAAAAGGAAUGGUGCAUUGUGGGGUGGUUUUUUUGUGUUCGGGCCACGUGUUGAAGAUGAUAUGGCGGAUAGUCCGGACAAACACAUUUCCACCCCACAUAUGGGAUGGAUUCGGAAGUCUGGACUGUCCAGACGGUUCGAUUUGGAGCCCGCUGGGUGCCCCUUUGAUGUCCGAAUAUGUCCAGACAUAUGAGGAAGAAAUGAGCUUUGACUUUGAAGACGACCUUAAUCAUUUAUUUGAUUUAUCUAUAUGCAUUUUAGCCCGUAGUAACGCACGGGAGUUCUACUAGUAUUAUUAAAACAAAGCUCUAAUGAUCAGGUGUGUUAAGUUUAUUUUUUUUUCAAAACUCUUCCUAAUAAUAUUGAAAUCACCACCUAUCACACAUGGUAAAGUGCUUCUCUGAUAAAUCUUAGAAAGUUCAGCUAAAACCCAAUUUUUCUCUCAGGUUGAUCAGCCCCAUAAACAGUAAUUGAAUUCCAGGCUAGAUCUAUUUUUUUCAUACACUAACACUAACAAAAUAAUACACAUGUUCAGAAUCCAAAACCUCCAAAGAAUCAUUAUUAGCUGUCACCAGAAUACCUCCAGACUUCCCUCUAGAAGGAGCCCAAUGCCAUUUAAAGUUUUUUUCCUCCACAAAAGGAGUGCAAUUCCUUAUUAGAUAAGUGGUCCUUCAUGGUAUCAUGAAUUCCCACGAAGUCUAAAGAGUAAUACACUACACUCUCUUAUAAAUCUUUUUCUAAUCUCCCAACCAAUAUAUCCAACAUUCAAAAUAAACCUUUCAUUAGGAGUUUUUAUGUUUUUAUAUUCUUGAUAGCAUACCUAUUUACAGGUAUGCCUUCUUUUAGCCUAACAAUUGCGGGCAAAAAGGUCCCUAUUUUUCUUAGAGGGAAAACUUGUUUCAGUUCUCUAAGUAUAUUUUUCUCCAACUCAAUGACGGGGUUAUCUCUGUCAGAACAUAACUCAUUCAAGUCAACAUCUCUAGUAGUGAUAUCAUGACUAGAAAGCAUAUCUAAUCUAGCCAUCUCGAAUUUCCUCAUAAUCUCUAGGUUAUGUCCAAUCAAAUCCAUAGUACAUCCAUUGCAAUAAGACAUAGUCAAAAGGGAGGGGUUAUUAAGUCUAAAAGAUCAAGAAAAGAUUCAUUGCCAUAAUUAUAUUUUGAUGUUGCCCUCUCUUUAGCCAUGUCCUCCACUCUAACAUCUUCCCUGUCUAUGAGCCUAGGGGCCAUCCUCACCAUUCUCCUCCACUUGACCAUGGCACUAUUGGACCACGGUGGUCAAUAAUGCCUGUAAUUUUCUUUAUUACGGUUCCAAAGGACUCCUAUGAAGAUACAAUAUCGGUCUGACUAGCAUUGUAAUCAACAUGUUCCAAAUAGUUAUCUCUUGUGUCACCAAUCUUUUCCUCCAUACAAUUUUCUAGUUCAUCCUCUCCUUCUUCCCUAGGAGGCACAUCACCUUUAUUUUUAUUAGCUUCAUUCUUGUCUAAGACCUAUUGUAGUAAUUUCUGCAAGUGCUUGUUCUGCUUCUCAAGUUCCACUUGUAGCUUACUUUUUUCAACUUCAUCGUCUCCCAUUAUUUUUCCAUCCAUAGCAAUUUGAACAGCUUGUCUAGCUUUCUCUUCCUCCACCUAUUUCUUUCUAGCAGUUAACUCUACUCAUCCACUAAACCAUCAGUUGAGGGGUCUGUCACUAGCCACUUUUCAUGCUUCUACAUUAUUUUUGUCAACAUUCAAAGCCUCAUAAGCCAAAGAAAGACUUCCCAAUUUGAUAAUCUCCUUCUUAGCUUCUGACCCUUUAUUUUUCUUAGGCAAUCUUCUCUCAUCGGUAUCAUCUUCUUUAGGGUUAUGCAGUAGACUAUCAUCUCCACCUCUCUUUCCAGGCCUAGAAAACCAACCCUGCUCCGCCACUAUCUCAACCUCAAAGGUCAUUCUAGAAACCCAAAGCUCUCUUGUAGUUAUUUCAGUAGAACCAUGAAUCUUCUUCGGGUCUCUCAUCCCAAGUUUCACCCUAACAAAUUCACUACCAAUUGAAUCCGUAUCAUUCUCAAUCACCGUUCCAAAGAGAGGUCCCCAAUUCACACAUUCAACCACUUGAUAUUCAGCUGGAGUUACAUGUCUAUAUGGGGAGCUUAUAUAGUGUCGUGUACCUGACAAAUGAUCAAGGCCAUCCUUAAAAAAAGGAGGUGUGUGGGUAGAGAGCUGGGUCAUUUGUGUCCUUUGAAGACCUCUAAUUGGGCUUGGAGGUGUGUUGUAGUCCAUUAAUGAGGGCAUUUCCUAUACUGCGUGUUAAGCACCUGUAUUUUGCAACUUGGCGUACACCCCCUCCACUCUAGGCCGACACAUCUACUCCUUUUUUUUCUUCUGUUUUUAACCCCCAAAAAGGGCGCUAGGUAUGAUUCGAACCCACGACCUCCGCGCCUAGUUUAGCUAUGGUAGUCAACCAAACACCCACUAUGAUGUGAUUAGUUACAUCUUUUUUACUCUUUCUUCUUUCUUUUGCUUUUCUGUUCCUUAUUUCUUUUCUUUUUUUCAAAAUGCGUGAACUUUUUUUAUCAAAAUCAAUGACCUUUUCUCAAAUCUAUGAACUUUUUCCAAAAUCAAAUUUCCUGAUACUUUUUUUAAAUUGGUAAUUUUUAAAUUAGUAAGCUAUUUUUAAAAAUCCAUAAACUUUUUUUCAAAUUCGAUGAACAUUUUUCCAAAUUAAAUGAACUGUUUUUUUUUCAAAAUCGAUUAACUUUUUCCCCAAAUUCGUGACAUUUUUUAAGUUUGUGAGCUUUUUUAAAAUCAGUGAACAUUUUCGAAUUCACAAAAUUUUUGGAUUUUUUUGUGCUUUAUAUUUUCGCAUUAUUUCCAAAGGUCAAUGGUUGACUGAUGAAAUGCCCAUUUGAUUAUGUGCGUGGGUACCAAGAAGCUCAACCAGCGCCUAAGGUGCCCAAUAGGAGGUUCCAUUAAUGUGGAUAUCCCCACAUACUAUUUGAAGGCCUCCUUGCUUGGAGUUGGGCCUCAUGUUUGCCACAAUUUUUUUUAGAAUUGUUUUUCAAUUUUUUCAUAUUUUACUGUUCAUGCUGAGACCAUAAGAGCUCAAACUUAGACGGGGACUUUCCAACAGUUUUGUCAUCAAUGCUAAUGACAUGCACAUAUAGGUGAUGUUGGCAAAAGCAUAAGAGGAGCGAAGUGGCUUGGUCAGAACUCAUGUUUUUUUGAAAAUUAGGGAUAAAACUGCUGAGUCAGACACAACUAAGGGCAUAAAACUAAUUAUUUCUUUUAUUUUGGACCCUAGUAAGUGUCACACAUGUGGCAUGAAUACAUGGCAACUCCGAACAAUUUUUAUAUUUGAAUGGUAACUUUUAAGUCUAACCUUCAAUUAGGUACUCCCGCGCUAUCAGGCAUGAACACGACAAUUAAAUUGUACGAAUGAAGUUGGCACAAACGCAUGACAACUCCGAACGUUUUAGGACCCUGAUAAUGCUUUAUACCGUGACCCUUGUUUGGCACAAGUUCUGUAUAGAUUAAAUUGUACGAAUGAAGCUUGCAACUUACUAGAAUAUGCAAAUGAUCAAUGAAAACAAGCGAUCUGCUACUAGUGAUGAGUUAGACCUGGCAAAUUGUGAACCGAUUUCCUUUACCUGUGAUAGGCAACAUUGCUAGAGUGCUAAUCACUGUGUAAACUAACAUAAACAUUACAGAGGGAGUGCAUUUGUUAGCCACAUAAGAGAAUUCAACGCAACCAAGACGACGGAAAACUCUGUCCUUUAUACUGGUGUAAUUUACAUCUCUGACGCUAAGAGAGAGAGCUCAACUUGCUACAUAUGUACAACCUCAGAAACUUUGUUUCCGAGAGAAAGAAUAUAGCUACCAACAAAGAGCAAAAACGCAGCAACUGUAGCUUGCCAAUACUUGCUUUAUCUACAGAAACAAUUGAUCGGGACACGGAACCUUUUGGCUAAAACAGCAGCCCUAGCUCUGUGCAAUGACAGAAAAUUUAUC
Molecule: long non-coding RNA, 15136 nt
Filed under: Triticum aestivum (bread wheat)
Lineage: Eukaryota; Viridiplantae; Streptophyta; Magnoliopsida; Poales; Poaceae
Description: long non-coding RNA (TAES_LNC026914)
Source: RNAcentral